ACAACCAUCUCCAAUCAGAGGACCACCAACGGAAACAGUAAAAGCACAGCCGUGUGAGUCAAGCACACUAUAAAGCCGUGCUCAUUCUUGUGUGUGUGUGUGUGUGUGUGUCUAGUCACCACACCUCAUUUUAUAGCGCUCUUGUUUGUAAAUUCCUUGCGCUGUCCCUCUCCCCGUCUCAUCCCUACCCAUCCCCCCCUCCGUAUUCCUCAAGCAACUCCCUUUCACAUUGCUGCUGUGGUCUAUCCGCGGUGUCGCUGGCACGUGGCGUUGCGCGCGACGCUGUGUGUACGCUGGUGCGUUGGCUAGCAGGUCACCCCGUAGGCAUAUAUAUGUGAAUACCAAAAGACGCCUUGAAAGCAACCACAGGCACCCAGGUACCCGCAACCACGCUCGAAGCGCGCCCUCCACCUUUACCCAGCUCAUGGCUAGUCGUUACUCGUCAUAUUCCUGCCCCGAGUGAUUUGCGAUCUGCGCCGUUCUCUGUCCUGUUUCCCACCCCUCCCCUCACCGCAUCGCUCUCUCUUGCGCGCUUCUCGGCAGCGACGAUGGAGCCAGAGAAAGCGUUCAACGAAGAGCCGGAGGCGACUGUGCAGGACCCCUCGCUGGUGUCGCCCUCGUCCCUCCUCCAAGGCUCCGCGCUGCCGUUGCUAUCGCCAUCCACUACUGUCUCGCAACCACCCCGCACUGCGCCUUCGUGGAGCUGCCGCCUCCACUUCGUGAGCCCCACCACGGCGCUGGACAUUGGGGCCGCCGAUUACAGCACCGUUUACCCUCGGCUGUGUUCCAUCGAGUAUCUCGUGACCGCCGCAACGUGUCUGGGAACGAUGCUUUAUGGGUUUGCCGUGCUCCAGUCGUUCUGCUACAAGAAUUUCUUUUCGUACCAGUGGGACACCGUCGAUCCGAACCCCUUCUUUGAACGCAUGGGCUCCAAGGGCUACGACGAUAGCGUAGACGAUCAAUGGGUCGGGUUCAUCACUCAUUACAACGAAUUGGUCUGCCUGGCCCUGCUGCUGGCGGGCUUUUCCGGGCUGUAUCGAGCGCUGCUCUCUUACUCAACGUCAUCUGCAUCCCCCGUCCCCUCUGACAGCACGGCCUGCUCAUCACCCUCGGCGAGCAGCGAGUGCUCAGGGUCGCUGGACGGCCAUGUAAAGGUGUGGAUGCCACCGAGGUGGUUGGAUAAGCUACGCUCACGCGCGCGCACUCUCGGCUCACCCUCAGGUGCACGGAGGAGGUGCACCGACUUUCUGCAGCGCUCUUGGAUCCUGCCCGCCUUCUACACGGUUGUGGGCGUCGUCUUCGUCAUCUUUGUGCACGGCCCGCACUUUUUCCUCCCGCUGCUCAUCAUCAUCGCCAACUACGUCAUCUUCUCGCGGCUGCAGCGCUGGUGCCCCUACUGGCUGUUCAUGGUCAUCAUGUGGGCCGCGCACGUCACUCUCCUGUACCUCAUCGAGAUCAACGAUGGGUUCGAGCAGACGUACUGGCUGCAGUACUACACUUCGUGUAUUCUGUCACACCUGCAAGCCAUUCAGGGAGAUGCGGAAGCAAUUCCUUGGGAGCAGCGUAUGCGCUGGUGCGUAGCCUUCCGCAUGUCGACGCUGCGCCUCAUCGCCUUCAACUACGACCUGUGGGAGGCCACGCACGCCGCCGCACGCGCGCGCGACCGUGCCAGGGCGAAGCACGACACCGGCUGCGUCGAGUGCGCGCAGCUGCGCGAGCAGAACGCAGCGUCGGCGGCCGCGCUGCCCGCCGAGGCGUUGCGCUGCUACAAGUACCGCACCGAGUACGCGCGCGACCCCGCCGACUACAACUUCCUGAACUACGCCGCCUACGUGCUGUUCCCGCCACUGUACCUUGCCGGGCCAAUGUCGUCCUUCAACGCGUUCGUGUCGCACAUGCGCGUGCCGAGCACGUCGAUGCCGCUGCGCAAGAUGGUGAGGUACGCGUUUGGCAUCCUCCGCAUCUACAUCACGGAGUACACGCUGUUGCACUUUGUGCACAUCCCGUGCCUCGGCUCGUACGCCUUCGUGAUCCUUCGGAUGACCUUGCUGGAGCAGGCGCACUUCCUGUUCUACAUGCUGGCCUACCUGUGGCUGAAGUUCAGCUUUAUAUGGAAGUCGUCGCGUCUCUUCGCCAUGUUCAGCGGCAUCGAAGUUCCGGAGGACAUGCGGCGCUGCUUCGGCAACACGCUGACGGUGCGGGGCUUCUGGCGCGACUGGCACGCCUCCUUCAACCUGUGGAUCGUGCGGUACAUGUACAUCCCGAUGGGUGGCCGCAGCCGCGUCGCGCUGUCGGUGCUGCCCAUCUUCCUGUUCAUUGCGGUGUGGCACGACCCGGCGCUGCACCUUGUCAAGUGGGCGGUGUGCAUUGCCGCGAUGUUCGUGGCGGAGGUGGCGGUGAGCGGGUGCUUUGGGUGGGCCGCUGCGGCGUUCCGGCGCGAGAUGGCCGCCGCGGCACCGACGGGCGCAGUAAGUGAUGCUGCGCUGGAGAACGGUCGCCCCACGAACUGCGCGCCGCGCCGCAGUCUGCUGGCACGGCUGGCGAGGCUCUCUGCGCGUCGCUUGAGCCCGCUCGCGCAAUCGUGGGUAUACCGCCAAUUUCGAGUGAUAGCGGGCAUGACCACAGUGCUCGGGCUGAUCAUUGCGAACUUGGUGGGUUUCUCGAUGCAAAAUGCGGUGGCGACUGUGGAGAAGCACGGCCUACCGUCGUCGGGGACCGAUGCAGACAAUGUGAUCAAGAAGGCGUUUCACGGUCUCACGCCUCUCUUUACCCUAGGCCUGAUUGCCUUCAUGUACUCUAUGUCCGCCUUGGCGGCGAUGGAUCGCGACAUGGCCCGCCAGCAGGCAUCGUACUUGAAGCUGCUCUAUAGAUUGAAGCAGUAGCGGCCCCGUCACGAUGGCGUCACGAAGGAGUAGGUGGCACGAGUCUGCAGUGUGGAUGAGCCUGUGCAUCCGACUGGCGCGCGGCCCCAUCUCCCUUUUGCGCCAGCCAUCUAUGGUUUCUUCCCCUUUCUGCGAAAGGCGUCGAUGAUGUCGUUUCGCAGGCUUUUUUUUGGGUCUCUGGCCUUCUCUUCCCCUCGUUCUCCAAGGAAGGUGUGUACGUGCGUGGGUAGGUGUGGGUGUGGGCGCAUACCGCGCGUAGAUGCAUCGCCCAUGGCCUCCCCCCCCCCUCGCACUUCACCGGCCCGCCCAUACGUCGACAGAAGCGCUGCCAACCGCUCUUUCGCGCGUGCCCCUGAGAGGCCCCGUCUCGCCGACUCUCCCACUCCAAGACGCUCUCCCCCUCCCCCCUUCUCUUGCCUCUCACCACUUGCCAUAUUUGGUGUUGCCAAGCGCAUAUAUCUUCUUUGUAUUCGUUUUUUGUUUGAAUUAAUCGGCUUGGGGGUGUUGCUUGGUUGCGUCAACGAGGACUGUGGACAAACUGGCUCGUCUUCGGCACCGUGCUCACGCAGGCUUUGAUCCCUGUGUGUGUGUGUGUGUGUGUGAGGAUGCGCAUAUACGUCAUUAUAUAGCGUUUUUUUUAUAGGAUUUUAUGGAGAGUGUGAAAGAAGUUGAGAAGGCAUGUGAAAUAUCCUUUUUUUUUUGGCAGUGCACCCGUGUAUUUGAGCGUGCGUCCGUGCAACUCCCACAUCCGCGAAGGGCUGUCCCGCCCAUGCGAGGACUUAGCGAAGCCUGAGGGAAAAGCUUGUCCGGAAAGGAUCAAGAGAAAGAAUCAGUGGCAUUCAUAGAUAAAAGAGGCGCCGGAAGUUAAGGGGGAGAGACGGAAUGCGGGCUAUGCUACGGAAGGGUUUUUAUUUGAUUUUGCCUUUACUGUUACGCUGAGUUGAUUCGGUGGGGAUAGGACAGAUGGUGAAGGUGGUAUUCUCUCUCUUUUCUUUUUUUGUUUUCGGUCAUCAUAUCUUUUCUGUGUGCGGAGGGAGGGGCUUUGGCUUAUACUGUGGACUUGUGCGGAGUUGUGUCUGCCGAUGCGUAUGUGUACAUGUAUAUCAGUGUUUAUGUGCCUAUCUGUAUGUAAUAGUGGGUGUGGGUGUGUUGGUCGUCUCCUAUAAUCGGUUUGGUUUAGUCAUCCCCUCCCCCUCCCUCUCCCUCCUCUCUGUACGGUUGUUGUUUGCUUUGUCUGUCUUCGACUCGGAGUGGCAGCGGCAUUUAUUUUGUUGGUAGAGGGAUGCUCUGCGUCUUCCGGGUUUGGGGUGCGGAACAUGCAACGGUACUACCUCCUGUGGUGAUGAAGGAACGUAUUUUUUUUUAUUUAUUCUAUGUCGAUGUGUGUAUGUAUGUGUGUGUGUGUGUUUGUUUUAGCGCACCGCUACGUCUUCGGCGGCGGUGCUGUUGUCAUUUUGCGUGUUGUUCGUGGCGCCGUAGAUUCUUUUACCGAAAUACCAUCAGCGCAGCAACAGCAAACCCUCUCACCGCUCGCCUCCUACCCGACCACCAUCACCACCAUCAUCACUUUCUCUUCUCCAUAAGUAUUGUUAUAGAUUCGUUUUUGUUUAAACUGCUUCUUUUCGAAAGUCUCCUAUCAUCACGUUCCCAUCAUCGAGUCCCUAAGCCACUGCCAGAAGAGCCAUGCCCCCCACCACCACUCCACGCCCCCUCCGCCUCAUUUGAGCCUUGUACCUCUUUUCUCUGUCCCCGCCUUACCGCCCACCGCGGAGAAUGAGGAAGGCUCUGGUUCUCUCUCCGUGCUCCUUCUUGGCUGCACCACCUCUUAUCACCCACUUUCUUUGCGGCGGCGGCGUCAACUGGAAAAGCAAAAUGUGUUGGAUGAGAAGAUAAGCAUACACGUACACACAUACUGGCACGUAUGUGUAGGAAAACAAAAGGAAACGGGCUUAUCUGCGCACUGGAUCGACUAGAUCACGGUGCAGCGCAUGUAGUGGCCAUGAUGCGCCCCUGCAGGCCAGUUUAGCUCCGUUGCACGCUACGCAGGCGCGACAGUGGCAGCGUGCGCGGUCACCUCAUAAGAAGGGGACUGACGGGAUUCAGCAGUUGUUUUCUUCUGCUAUGAGCAAAGGUCAUCUAUCUUGUGUGCAGGCCGGAGCACUAGGUUUUUUUUUCUGGUAUGCGGCGUCUUGCCAUGCUGCACACCGCUACAUCCUCGAUUGCCCGCCUGUCUUUUCUCCCAUCCCCCCCCAACCAUCCGUUUUUCUUCGCGAAUGAUUGCCCUAUGCGCGAGUCUCUGCCGUGCACUUUAACCGUUCUCUCUCUGCGGACGAUAUACGCGCAUCCCAUUCACAAGCGCACAUGCAGACGCGCACACGCAGUGGCACAGCUACUAUCAGCUGGCAUCUUGCACACCCAAGGCACUACGAAGCACCUGUGCCGUAUCGCUCGACAAAAAAAAAAUUGCGCGGCCUUUUCACCGCCUACCGCUCACAGCGCGUUCGUGUUUUUGCCGUAUGCUAUGUGGUGAAGCGUUGUCGCUUUAACUGAGCGCAGCCGGUCGGAUCGUCGCUGCUGCUGGUGUCGUGGCCGUGCCUCUCCUCUGUACUAGAUCUCGUUCGUUUUUCUUUUUCUUUCUUGCGUCUCCCUCCCCCCUUUCCCUCUCGCAUAUAG
This 5555-nucleotide unclassified non-coding RNA is filed under the name Leishmania donovani. RNAcentral describes it as "gene:LdHU3.19.1640(CDS-product:glycerol_uptake_pr otein_putative)". Lineage: Eukaryota; Euglenozoa; Kinetoplastea; Trypanosomatida; Trypanosomatidae. The record is from RNAcentral.